UAGGACUACCUAAUUUUC
Molecule: non-coding RNA, 18 nt
Filed under: Arabidopsis thaliana (thale cress)
Lineage: Eukaryota; Viridiplantae; Streptophyta; Magnoliopsida; Brassicales; Brassicaceae
Source: RNAcentral